This 253-nucleotide ribosomal RNA is filed under the name uncultured bacterium. RNAcentral's name for it is "partial 16S ribosomal RNA". It matches the Rfam family "Bacterial small subunit ribosomal RNA", at positions 524 to 776 of the family's 1533-position model. The record is from RNAcentral.
GACGAACCGUGCGAACGUUAUUCGGAAUUACUGGGCGUAAAGCGUGCGUAGGUGGUUCGUUAAGUCUGAUGUGAAAGCCCUGGGCUCAACCUGGGAAUGGCAUUGGAAACUGGCGACCUAGAGUGCGGUAGAGGGCAGUGGAAUUCCCGGUGUAGCAGUGAAAUGCGUAGAGAUCGGGAGGAACAUCUGUGGCGAAGGCGACUGCCUGGACCAGCACUGACACUGAGGCACGAAAGCGUGGGGAGCAAACAGG